RNAcentral lists this long non-coding RNA (1030 nucleotides) under Mus musculus (house mouse). RNAcentral describes it as "expressed sequence AI480526". The record is from RNAcentral. Lineage: Eukaryota; Metazoa; Chordata; Mammalia; Rodentia; Muridae.
AUCAGACUCCAAGGAGAGGCCAACAGAUGAGGGAGCCAUUUUUCUGCAAUGGAAUUAAAUGGCCAAGUGGGUUUUUCCUUUGUUGCAAAUGGGGAAUGCUUUUCCUUUGACUCCACCAUCCAGUUCAGGACGCCUGAAUGUGUUUAACAUUUGCCAAAGGACUCACACUUGGAAGAAUGAAGACCUUUUAAAAAGAUCUGGAUUUUUCCUUAUGACUUGGAAUCCAUCUUUGUCUUGUAUAACUAGGUCAUAGCACACUAUUAAUGUCAGCAGUUAACAGUUUUGAAUUCAAAAAAACCUAAAGCACUAAACAGCCCUCAGCGAAGCCGCCUUUUUGCCAGCCCAACCCUGGAAAGUUUGCAGUCGUGGAAGGAGCAGAAAUACCACGAGUGUAACUUACAAAGAAGGUCUUGGCCGGAGACCGGAGCCAUGUCUGUGUUAUCCCCACUGUAGACAAUCCUUGCUUCCUCUGGACAUCUGGAGCAGGCCCAAUUUGACUGAGAGCCUUCCCCCACUAAGUUACAGAUCCAGCCCCACCAUCACCACCAGAGUUGAGUCCAAAUCCAACACUCUAGGCCGGGUAGUGCUGGGACUUUGCCAGCCUCCUGCUGAGCCAGCCAGCCUCCUGGGUCGAGAGCCAAGCCAAAAGAUGUCUGAGAGAAGAAACCUGGGGUCCUGCAAAGCCCUCCUCCUCCCCCCCCCCCCCCUUCAGCCAGCACUUAGGCCCUCCCUGAUUUAGCCCGUUACCUUGACAACCACUUGGGCCUGUCUCCCUCAUCACCACUGAAAACCUGAAGGUGGUUUUCCAGCUGCGGUACAUUUGCCCAAGUUGGGCACCCCUCCAGCUUCUAUUGGCUCGCCCUCUAUACAGCUGUACCCAAUAUAACAAACACAACCUUCCUGGCCCCUCAGCUGUAGUCUCGAAAUUGAUCUCACUGGUCCCGGGAACUCCGUCAAUACUGCCUCCUCUAGACUGAGCUCCUCACAGGCAGGAACAUGGUUGUUUCUCAAUAAACAAGUUGCAAAAAAA